This 434-nucleotide ribosomal RNA is filed under the name Ambohima ranohira. Its description in RNAcentral is "partial 16S ribosomal RNA". Lineage: Eukaryota; Metazoa; Arthropoda; Arachnida; Araneae; Phyxelididae. The record is from RNAcentral.
UACUAAUAGUAAUAAUUAUUAGCAAUUUCUGCUCAAUGAAACUAAAUAGCCGCAAUUUAUGUGCUAAGGUAGCAUAAUCACUUGUCUUAUAAUUCAAGACUAGAAUGAAUGAAUUAACAUUUUAAUUUUUUUCCAAAAAUUAAAUAAUUAAAUUAUUUUAAAUGUUAUAAAACAUUUAUAAAAAAGAUAGACGAUAAGACCCUAUUGAACUUUACUUAAGUUUAAUUGGGGAAAUUAAUUAAAUAUUAUUUUAAAACUAUUAUAAUUUUAAAAACCUAAUACAAUUAAUUUAAAUCAAGUUACCAUAGGGAUAACAGCAUAAUAUAAUCUCUAAGACCUUAUUAUAAAUUAUUUUAUGACCUCGGAUGUUGAAUAUUUACCUAAAAAAAGCAAUCACUUUUAAAGGAAGUCUGUUCGACUUUUAAAAUUUUACA